Non-coding RNA from Myxocyprinus asiaticus (Chinese sucker), 1198 nucleotides. Lineage: Eukaryota; Metazoa; Chordata; Actinopteri; Cypriniformes; Catostomidae. The record is from the annotation of a RefSeq genome assembly.
GAAUUACAGUGAAUAUUAGACUGACAGCAGUAUAAACUAUUGAAGAUCCUUUGCAUGUCUUUACAUAAUCAGCACAUGCUUCAGUGAUCUGAGAGUGUUUAUAGUGCUGUGAGUUUAACACUUCAUGACUGAGAACACAACACAAUCUUCAUCAACACACAACACAACAACAAUGACCUUCAUCAUCAUCUUCAUCUGGACACUCACAGUGUUUGCUCAAAAGUGUAAUGGACAGAUCACAGUCACUCAGAGUCCCUCAACAACAGCAGCUCAACCAGGACAAGAAGUUAAAAGAAACUGUAAAACCAGCAGUGAUGUCUACCGGCACAGUAGUGUGGGAUACCUCUUGAGCUGGUACUUACAGAAACCUGGAGAAGCUCCUAAACUCCUCAUAUAUUAUACAAGCACCCCCCAGUCUGGAACUCCAUCUAGAUCCUUUUUGUGGUCUUGCGUUUGGCUUUCAACACCUUCAUCCCAGCUAUACUCCAGACUAAACUACACCAGCUCUCUGUUCCCACAUCAAUCUGUCAGUGGAUUACCAGCUUUCUGACAGACAGGCAGCAGCUUGUGAGACAGGGGAAAUUCACUUCCAGCACCUGUACAACCAGCACUGGUGCCCCCCAGGGAUGUGUGCUCUCCCCACUACUCUUCUCUCUCUACACAAAUGACUGCAUCGCCAAGGACCCCUUUGUCAAGCACCUGAAGUUUGCAGACGACACCACUGUCAUCAGCCUCAUCCGAGAUGACGAAGAGUCAGCAUAGCGAAGGGAGGUUGAACAGCCGGCCGUCUGGUGCAGUCAAAACAACCUGGAGCUGAACACGCUAAAAAACAAUGCAGAUGACUGUGGACUGUGGAUGAGGAGGAACACCCCAACAUUGACCCCCCUUACCAUUCUGAACAGCACUGUGGCAACAUUGGAGUCAUUCAGUUUCCUUGGCACUACAAUCUCACAGGACCCGAAGUGGGAGACCCAUGUUGGGCCUCAUGUAUUCAGAUAGAAGACAAAGGCAGGCCUAACAGUCAUAAAAACAUAACUCAAGCCCCCACCUUCUAAGUCGUAAAUUUUUCUGAUAAAAAUCGCGCCAAAAUCAAACAAAGGAAGUCCAAAACAGACUACAAAUCCAGGAAGCCUUGCUCACUAAAGGAUCGAGCUCUCAACUCCUAUUGGAUGAGGCACACAACAGAACGUCCCUCAAA